GCCAGACUCCUACGGGAGGCAGCAGUGGGGGAUAUUGCACAAUGGGGGGAACCCUGAUGCAGCGACGCCGCGUGGGUGAAGGAGCGUUUCGGCGCGUAAAGCCCUAUCGGCAGGGAAGAAGGAGGACGGUACCUGACUAAGAAGCCCCGGCUAACUACGUGCCAGCAGCCGCGGUAAUACGUAGGGGGCAAGCGUUAUCCGGAUUUACUGGGUGUAAAGGGGGCGCAGACGGCAGCGCAAGCCAGGAGUGAAAGCCCGGGGCCCAACCCCGGGACUGCUCUUGGAACUGCGCGGCUGGAGUGCAGGAGGGGCAGGCGGAAUUCCUGGUGUAGCGGUGAAAUGCGUAGAUAUCAGGAGGAACACCGGUGGCGAAGGCGGCCUGCUGGACUGCGACUGACGUUGAGGCCCGAAAGCGUGGGGAGCAAACAGGAUUAGAUACCCGCGUAUUG
Molecule: ribosomal RNA, 449 nt
Filed under: uncultured bacterium
Lineage: Bacteria
Description: bacterial SSU rRNA
Rfam family: Bacterial small subunit ribosomal RNA
Source: RNAcentral